UGGGGAAUCUUGGACAAUGGGCGCAAGCCUGAUCCAGCCAUGCCGCGUGAGUGAAGAAGGCCUUCGGGUUGUAAAGCUCUUUUACCAGGGACGAUAAUGACGGUACCUGGAGAAUAAGCCCCGGCAAACUUCGUGCCAGCAGCCGCGGUAAUACGUAGGGUGCAAGCGUUAAUCGGAAUUACUGGGCGUAAAGCGUGCGCAGGCGGUUUUGUAAGUCUGAUGUGAAAUCCCCGGGCUCAACCUGGGAAUUGCAUUGGAGACUGCAAGGCUAGAAUCUGGCAGAGGGGGGUAGAAUUCCACGUGUAGCAGUGAAAUGCGUAGAUAUGUGGAGGAACACCGAUGGCGAAGGCAGCCCCCUGGGUCAAGAUUGACGCUCAUGCACGAAAGCGUGGGGAGCAAACAGGAUUAGAUACCCUUGUAGUCCUGAGCGGGCUGGCAAGGCGCAU
This 446-nucleotide ribosomal RNA is filed under the name uncultured bacterium. RNAcentral describes it as "bacterial SSU rRNA". It matches the Rfam family "Bacterial small subunit ribosomal RNA", at positions 355 to 825 of the family's 1533-position model. The record is from RNAcentral.